RNAcentral lists this ribosomal RNA (186 nucleotides) under Alteromonas sp. KS69. Its description in RNAcentral is "partial 16S ribosomal RNA". It matches the Rfam family "Bacterial small subunit ribosomal RNA", at positions 1 to 180 of the family's 1533-position model. Lineage: Bacteria; Pseudomonadati; Pseudomonadota; Gammaproteobacteria; Alteromonadales; Alteromonadaceae. The record is from RNAcentral.
UUUAAUUGAAGAGUUUGAUCAUGGCUCAGAUUGAACGCUGGCGGCAGGCCUAACACAUGCAAGUCGAACGGAAACAUGUCUAGCUUGCUAGAUGAUGUCGAGUGGCGGACGGGUGAGUAAUGCUUGGGAACUUGCCUUUGCGAGGGGGAUAACAGUUGGAAACGACUGCUAAUACCGCAUAAUGUC